UGGGUGUUCAGUUUAGUCUUCUAUUUCACCAAUGUCAACCAUGGUUCCCUAAGUUAAAAAAAAUAUUUCAAAUAAGUCCCACCCAUUAACAGCGUAAGAGCGACGUUAAAUGUUGGCAUGAUGUGGCAAAGAAGUUAUUAAACAUAGCAAAAGGAUGUUUUAUAGUAAGACACUUUUUCGCUCUUCUCUCUCAUGUCUCUAAUCUCGCUCUUCUUUCACCUCUUCACCAGAACAGAGAAAACAAAAUUUGUCUUCUCUGCCAUCAAAUUUCAGGAAUGAUAAGGUUGUCGUGUCAUUUCCCCUCAUCUCUACCAAAAUCCCCUCAUUUCUCACUCACAUUUCCUGAGACUGAGAGUCUCCUUCGAAGAAAACGAAAACCCUUGAGCUUUGUUUCAUCCACGAGGACACGCCACCACUCUCAGUCAGAUCAACCACCGCUGACUCUCUACCCAAUCUACAACGUCGCCCACGACACCAAGC
RNAcentral lists this long non-coding RNA (480 nucleotides) under Vigna radiata. Its description in RNAcentral is "long non-coding RNA (VRAD_LNC017144)". Lineage: Eukaryota; Viridiplantae; Streptophyta; Magnoliopsida; Fabales; Fabaceae. The record is from RNAcentral.